AUGGCUAACGUCAACGACGGCGAGGGCAAGGCGGCGCCGGUGGUGCUCAUCACGGGGUGCGCCGAGGGUGGCAUCGGCUACGAGUACUGUCGUGCCUUUGCCGCCCUCGGCUGCCGUGUCGUCGCCACCGACAUCCCUGACCGCGUGCCGGACCUCGCCGGCCUCGAUGAGACCGUCGUCGUUGAUCGCCUCCCGCUCGACGUCACCAACGAGGCCAGCGUGACCGACGCCGUGUCACGCGUGCUGCGCGACCACGGACGCAUCGACGUGCUCGUCAACAACGCCGGGAUCGGCUGCACGGGCCCGCUGGCGGAGCUGAGCAGCGAGGCCGUGCGGCGCACCAUGGACGUGAACUUCCUCGGCCAGCUGCGGCUGGUGCAUGCCGUCGCGCCCCACAUGGCGUCGCGGCGGUCCGGGCGCGUGGUGAACGUUGGCAGCGUCGUCGGCACCGCCGCCACGCCGUGGGCCGGGGUCUACUGCGCGUCCAAGGCGGCGGUGCACGCCGCCACCGACGCGCUGCGGCUGGAGCUCGCGCCGUUCGGGGUGCACGUCGUGAAGGUGGUGCCCGGGGCGGUGCGGUCCGGCCUGGGGCACGCCAACACCGCGCAGCUCGCCGGAGCGAAGCAGGGACAGCAGCAGCAGUGGGGGAUGUACCGUAAGUUCACGGCGGCGAUCGAGGAGAGGGCGCGGGCGUCGCAGGGGGCGGGGGCGACGGAGGCGUCGGCGUUCGCGAGGCACGUGGCGGCGCGGGUUAUGCGGCCGAGGCCGCCGCGGGAGAUCGUGUACGGCAGCAUGACGGGGCUGUUCGCCGUGCUUGCCAUGUCGCCGGCAUGGGCGCGUGACGCCUUCUUCGCCAGGCGGUUCGGGCUCAAUAAGCUCUAA
RNAcentral lists this ribosomal RNA (882 nucleotides) under Triticum aestivum (bread wheat). RNAcentral's name for it is "partial small subunit ribosomal RNA". The record is from RNAcentral. Lineage: Eukaryota; Viridiplantae; Streptophyta; Magnoliopsida; Poales; Poaceae.